This 36263-nucleotide long non-coding RNA is filed under the name Nicotiana benthamiana. RNAcentral's name for it is "long non-coding RNA (NBEN_LNC010179)". The record is from RNAcentral. Lineage: Eukaryota; Viridiplantae; Streptophyta; Magnoliopsida; Solanales; Solanaceae.
CCGGUAUUACUGCUGCUGGAGUAGCCACGGUGAUCACAAGCUGCACAAAUAUGAAGAAAGUUCUUGUUGAGAAAUGGAAAGUGAGCCCAAGGACCAAAAGGAGAGCAGGAUCGAUUAUCUCCUAUCUCUGUGUUGAUCUGUAGAUCUCCUUACACUUGUUACUAUACUUCUUGCAGCCCCAAUCAACAGCAGCAGGUUAAAGCAGACUAUCCCUUUUAAUAGCCAGUUUAAGAUAAAAAUUGCCCCGGCACACAGAAGGCGCCUAAUGUCGUGACAGUUUGUCUUUUACUUUCUCAUGUGUAAUGUUUUUUCAGUGUUUUUUUUUUCUUCAAAUCUCACAGGAAUGUGUUUGUUGAUUGACUUAUUGUAGAAAGUUCAUUCCGUCUCUUGUUAUUUUAUUUGCUUAUUCUAUUCAAGGUAUGGGGUGGGUCUGCGGUUUGUUCCCUUCAGAUGUGUAUGGUCAAGGCAGCCAUGCUUGUGCUAUGCUUUUGCAAGGGUAUGCUGUGGAUCCAUUAUCUCCUAUCUCUGUGUUGAUCUGUAGAUCUCUUUACACUUGUUACUACUCUACUUCUUGCACCAAUCAACAGCAGCAGGGUUAAAACAGACUAUCCCUGUGAAUAGCCAGUUUAAGGUACAAAUGCCCUGACACACAGAAGGGCCUAAUGUCGUGACAGUUUGUCUUUUACUUUCUCAUGUGUAAUGUCUUUUCAGUGUUUUUUUUCCAAAUCUCACAGGCAUGUGUUUGUUGAUUAACUUAUUGUAGAAUCCAUCUCUUGUUAUUUUAUUUGCUUAUUCUAUUCAAGGUAUGGGGUGGGUGUGCGGCCUGUUCCCUUCAGAUGUGUAGGAUAAAAUGGUCAAGGCAGCCAUGCUUGUGCUUUGCUUUUUCAAGGGUAUGCUGCUGCUACAGCCCAUUUUUGUCUUAUGGGUCUUUCUGGCAUUCACAUAGAUUAAGUGCAGAGGUGCAGUACGGAAUGCAUAAUGUAGAUGUUGCUUUGAAGUGGAAGAAGCUGAUAUGGGAGCACAUUCUGAAACAACUCUUCCAUGUUUCGACAGUAGAUGUUCUGUUCUGUUCUGUUCGAAGCAGCUCUAGAAUUAAAUUUGGCAGAGAUUGGACCACUAUGAGCAAUUCUUUUAUGAUCGUGUGCAUUCAUGUUAGAGUCACAAGGUAUGCACUUCUUUUAGAGGAAAAGGUUACAAGAAAAUGCAGUUAGAAUCGUAGUUGUUACAUGAAUCUCUACCAAAGGAACAACUUGAAAGGAGUAUGGUUUUCUGGUAAAAGUUCCUUUUUACAUGUAAUUUGUCAAAGGAUUUUAUAUCAAGUAUUUGCUGGCGGAAAGAAUUUUUAAACUAACAAUUUGUGCUAACACGUAGUACGUCUGUUUCCAUCUUUCCAGAUGACUUUUUUUUUUCUUUUUUUUUUUUGGGUGUAAUUGACCCUGAAGUGAUUGAAUUAUGUAUAAAGUAUUUUAUAGUCAAGAGUACAUAAAUUAAAUCAUUGGGAAUUUGAAUAACUCUCUUAUUUUCACUUGCACACUUAAACAUAGUUAAUCACAUUCCACAUAGCAUAGCAUACCUUUAGUGUUGGAAAUAGUCUUAGGAUGAAAAUCAUCAAUAGAGUCGUGCCGAAGCUUUGAGAUAGAGUCCAUUGAAAUUUAAAAAACCAUAAUUUCACCUGUACCAAAGCUUGACGUACUCCGUGAAUAAAUUGGGUGGGCAUGUCAAGUUUCUUGGCCAAAAAUAAGCAAACACCAAACUAGUAUAAGUUUUUCUCAUUUCAGCUAUUAAACUUUGUAGAAUCUAAACUUACAAGAGGCCCACUUGAACCAAUUUAUUUAACGAUAAUCACUUGUGCAACAAGUCGAAUACAAAUAAGUGGCUAUUUCUUGGAAUUUUUUAAAUAAAGCGUGACAUUAUAUGACAUCGCUACAUGCGUUUACCUAACAUUUUCGUAUCUUUUCGGCCAAAAAGAAAAACAAUAAAGACUCUCCGUAUUGCGCCUGACCAUAAAUAGUCGAUUAAUUAGUCAAUGUUAAUCCUAUUUUUAAUAUAUGGGGUUCAACAAAUUGCCAAGCAAUUAGACUCACCUUAUUACUAACCAUAGCUCAGAUUUGGUCAAAAAGUACUGAAAAAGAGCAAAAAGGUGAAAUUCUUUUAAGUAGCUCAGCCGAAAACACUGUAAGAAAAAUGGAAAUUUGUGGACAUGCAAAUCACCUUAAAACUUACUAAUCUGGAUUUGUUUAAGGAAAGUAUGAUCAUUAUUUUCUAUGUAAUUAGAAUCUAAUAACCUCAAGCAUGCUAAGCACAAAUUAGAAUAAGCAUGUUUAAGAGUUCCAAGAUGUCGUCUAUUAUGCUAUACAAGAGAUCAGAAUGAUUUGAGUGUAAGGUUGAACCAGACAUCGAGAGAUUUGCUUCAGCUUUGUGGCAGGGCUCGAGGAGAUAUACAUUGAGGAACAGUCAUGUGACUAUAGACAAAUAUAGCAUUUUUAAGUACUACUUACACAAUAAUACUGAAUAACUAAUUCAUAUAUGAAAAUAUAUUGUUCACGUAGAGUAUGAUGUGUUUUUCUGUGGGGACAGUAACAGAGGCUGCCGGGCAGCGUAGACUUCCAAUAUUAUAUUUCUAACAACAAUAAUAGAUUACUUACUUGAAAGGUCCUAACAUGUCUUUGCUUGCUUUCGAUUAUUCUUCCACGUUUCUAACAAUCAUAGCUAUUGUUAUAAGUAAAGAAUAUGGGCUCUAAUUUUAAUAAUCUGUUAAAUGCGUAGUUCCAGAUCCCACUUUCAAUCGAAAGGUUGUGAGUUCGAAUCUCCCAAGAGCAAGGUGGAAGUUCUUGGAGGGAAGGAUGCCGGGGGUCUAUUUGGAAACAGCCUCUCCAUCCAAGAGUAGUGGUAAGGUCUGCGUACAUACUACUCUCCUCAGACCCACUAAGUGAGAUUAUACUGGAUUGUUGUUGUUGUUAAAUGCGUAGUUCAACAACUUCAAAGUUCAUAUCCUAUAGUAUGCACAGUAUAUGAAAGCAACUUCCUAGGGAAGCGAGGAGAAGCUAGUAUUUGAAUUUGAUUGGCUCAAAGUUUUAGUUCUUAUAAGUCGCUAAAUUCUAUAUUAAUAAAUAAUACAUAUUUUAUAAUUUUCUUAACAUGAAUAUAAAUUUUGGAUCAAAGUUACUGAGUUCGAUCUAAUAUUGGAGCGAGCGAGGAGAAGUGUAGGAAAUUGGGCAGCCAGGGGAUCAGUUGUAUUUUGGUAACUAAUAGCUUGUUUGAUCAAGCUUUUAAAAUCAAAUUAUUUUGAAAUGUGAUUUUCUUAAAAGUGCUUUCAAAAAAAAUACUUUUGGCGUAAAGCAUUUUGUGUUUAGCUAAUCACACUAAAAAAAAUAUUUUUGACCAGUAAUUUGUAUAUGUCCAAGCUUUUAAAAAAUACUUUUAAAUGUAUUUUUCUCACAAAUACUUUUUGAUAAAAUGCUUCUGAGGAAAAACUAGUAAUUAGUUUUUCUGCUUCUACUUAAAACUACGUUUUUUCCUUUUAAAAAUUUAACGAAAUACUAUUUUAGAAAGAAAAAAAAAUUACUUUUUCGAAAAAGAAAAUUAGCCAAACAGGCUAUAAGGUUGAAAGCGAACGGUGAACUAAUCUUAUUUGCCCAUGCCAAUGCAAAGAGUGGUGGGCACCACACAUUUGCACAAAAUUUGCGCGCAUGGAACAGUGGUACUCAUAAAAUGCUGAUGCUUGCUCCUUAUACUAGUGCUCAAAUAUCACAUUGACCCAAUAGCUAUAUUUUUAUAAUAUUAUGCCAAAUAUAUGUUAUUAUACAUUGAGAUGUGGAAAUUUGCGCGUGCAAGCAUGUAGCUACAUAUGGCGGCUAAAAGUCACAUCGUAACCCCCUCUCUCAACUUAUGUAAUUGUCUCCCUAUCCAUUAAACAUAUGGCCCCAAAAUAGUGAAUAUGCUCCUUGUCAAAGGUAAUCUUCAAGAAACUUUGAAUUAGGCUUCCCCCUUUGGUGGGGUUUUUUUUAGUGUCUUCGGGUUAAGACACAAUAUGUUAGAUGAUGUUCCAUUAUACUUGGUACCAUGUACAGUGGUUGUCGGAUUAGACAAUUUCAUUUAAUCCCCCUUUUAGUGGGUCCUCAUCAUGGCUUUGGAAGAUAUCAUUUUGGUGUGUUAAGAGAAAAUUGAAAAACAUAUCAUAGUUAACCUAAAUAGUUGCCCCACUAAUCUCUUGAACUAAAAAUAGACGGUAAAUAUAUAAUAUGUAUAAUUCAUAUAUAAUAUCUAUAUAAUUAUGUUUAAUCAUUAUAUAAUAUAUAUACCAGUUAAAAAAGUAAAUAUUAAAUAUGGCUGGCUAUUUGUGUAACAAUCUCAAAAAUAUACUCAACACUUUUACAAUUAAAAAAGGGUCAGGAGUGAGUCCAGAUGCGGAUUUUAAAAUUUAAAUUUUAUGUGUUAAAUAUUUAAGCAUACUCGUUGUAUUUUUGAAGUACGAUUCAUAUAUUUCUUUUAAUUUCGAAAAACGUCCUGUCUUAAAAUUAUAGGGUUAACUAUACUCACCCCUAUAAGGCUACAUCCACCAUUAGGAGUGGUUAUACCUUUUGAUGUGAAAGUUUGAUGAGUUGGUUUUGAUACUUUUCAAGAAAGAUGUGGAUUUCGCUUAACUUUAUUAAAUUUCUUCUUCUCCUCUUGUACAUGUCCUACUUACGAAGUUGGACAUAGUUGACCAUCACUUAUCACAUGUUUAGCGAUUGCAUUCUCAACUAGCUCAGAUAAGUACAGAUCAUACUGAUAAACUCUAGUUAAUGCCCAAUUGAAAGGAAACCACUUAAGUAGAUUAGCGGAGUAUUUCGAUCUGGCAAGAAUGGAUCCAUUUUACCUAGAAGCUAUUGAAAAUUAAUUUGUUAAACAAAGAAUUUGAGACAUAAGAAUCUACUGUUUGUGCAUAAAUAAACCUAACUAAGCUCAUUAUAUAUGUUUCAAUGAGUAAUAAUUCAAUUUAUACGGGAUUUAAAAGAUACGUUAUUUAAUUCGACACGAAUGAUCUAAGAAUAACAAAUAAUGAAUUGAAGAAAAAUAAAACGAUCAAACCAAAUACGAUGGAUGAUUAAGCUUGGCUUUACGAAGAACACCGCAAGUUGGUUGCGAUUAAGCCCUCGAAACAUGCUCGGUUGUAUUAAAUAAAUAAGCAGUGCUAAGAACACCUUGACCAGUAAUUAGAGAACAAAAAUUGACUUUAUUGCUUUGAUAUGCAUGCCAAUAGUGGUCCUUAAAAUAAAAAGUUCUCUCCUUUAUAUAGUAGAAGAUUUUUAAUCCUAGUACAAGUCUAAAUAACAUAAAAAUCUUUUUCUUCUUGUAAACUGUAAUAGGCCGUUGAUACUGGGGGAGAUUAGCGCCGUAAUGUGCAGUUAAGGGUGGAUAUUUCGGCCCCUCAUUUGUCUUUUCCAAAUGGAUUUCACCUAAUCUCGGUCCUUUAUUUUGUUCGAACUCGAUUAUUCCCACAUUUGGCCGUGUCCGGUUCUUGGCGCAUCGUUCAUCCUCCCCGGGCUAUGAUAUGUGGGAGCCCUCGGCUUUAUCCAAGGUCAUAUCAGAUCAUACCUCCCAUUCUUUUACUAGGAAAUCAUGGGUAGCUUUAUUCCAUAUUUUAACCAUACGCAGAUAGUCCCCUUACUUUUUUGAGAACAGAUUUGUAGGAACGAUGAGAAGUGAUUAACUGAUCGCAGUUCCUUCUUCCGUAUGCCGCAGCGAGGUGACAAGUCAGUGAAAUGUCUCACCAGUCGUGUUGUUCUGACCUCCGACACAUGUCAGCCGGCGGUUGACCAUCCUUGGUGGGUAUCAAAUGAGGAACAUCAUGCAUUCAUUAUUUCCCUCCUAUAAAGCUCCGGUUUCUUUUUUUCGCUUUUUUACUUUUCAUUUCGAACCUUCUUAAGUUACCUUCAAAUUUUUUACUUGUUCACCAUUCCCUCAAAUCUUCACAAAUUGUUCUUCACAUAUUCAUUUCGUCAUGUUCAAUGUUCAAAUCUUCAUAUUUCGCCUUUAAAUCUUCAAGAUAGACCUUCAAAUCUUCAUAUUCCUAGAUAAAGAUGGCAAAAAUCUCAAAAUCAGUGCCUCAAAAUACUGCUCAUUCAACCUCUACCGGGGCCGCAGACACCGAAGCAUCCCUUUCAGUAGUAGCCGUUGAACCUCCUCUUAAAAGUUUUAUCUCCAGAGGCUGCUAAAUGACGACUUUAAGGUCAAAAAAGCCUCCAAACAAAGAGAUCGAGAUGAGGAGGCGUACAGGUAAAUCUGCUCCAUCACCAAUGACACGCUCCCAACGGUCCGGAAGGAUUGCAUGUAGGAAGUCAAGGAAGUAGUCAUCCCCGGUCCUGAUGAGGACAUCACAACACACGUGGAGGGGCACUUAAGUAUUUAUAUGUACCAUUUCACGCUUGGCCUGAUGAACACUAGGGUCCUCGACUUUUGUAAAAGGUACGAGGUCUGCCUCGGGCCGAUCCAUCCGUCCUUUUGGAGGAUUGUGACCCUUCUACACCAUCUUCCAACAGCACGAAGGAGCCCGGCCUCACGAUCGAUCAUCUGCUUUUAUCUACAAACCCCCAAACUUCUGAGGGAAGUUAUCAAGCUUUCCCGACGGGCAAAGAAGGCUCCAGUCUCGAGCAUCGACGAGGACAAAGAUCGAGGCUAGUAGGGGAGGCUUGUUUGGAUAAAGACCAAAGAUCUCAUUCCCUCUGAGUUCCUGUCAUUCCCUGAGAAGUGGAAUUCAACACAUAAGUUCAUGCCCUUUAAAGUUGUCAAAAUGACCCUUUCAAUUUACUUCUCUUUCUUAUCAUCCGUCUUUUCUGAUAUGUUAUUGUCACACGAGUCCCUAAUGCAGUCCCUCAUUUCAGGUAGUGGAUCGAGGCUAUAUGAAAAAAAUUAACAUACUCCAAGCGCGAAUGGCACAAACUUUCUAAAAGCAAAUGGGAGGCUCUCUCCCAUAGUGAGUUCCAUUCUUUUCCCGAUUGAAUUUCCUUUUUAUUUUAUCGUCAUUUCUCUAUGUCCCUCUUUCUUUUCACAGGUUCUCCCAAGACCAGUGAGCUUCGGGCAAUUACCAAGGCCGUGGCCUCAUUUCUAUCUGCAAAACUCUUUACUUCGGUAUAACCUACUACUGAGGCUGUUGUGAAGAAGGACGAGAAAACAAGAAAGCAGAAAAGGUACCCUAAUCCCUUCGGACACUCCCGCUGAGGCCAAGAAAAAGAGGAUCGUGGUCAGGGUCAGAAAGAGUACCAAGAAAAGGACUCAAGGCAAGGUCCCAGAACCCCGAUUCUCUCUACUGGAUCAGGGACUAACCCGAAUAUGAUGACAUGGAGUUUUUCCAUGGGCCAACCGACACUGUACCAGAGUUGGCAGUGUCGAAGGGCGGUGACCGUAAGGCUGAACCCUCUUCAGCUAGAGCCCGAGGAACAGCCUAUGGCCACUGCCCCUCAAGAAGAUACUCCAGUACUGAGAGAAGCUAUCCAUGUCAUUGAUGUCUCAGAGUCACCAUCUCACACGGAGCCUCUUUUCGAUGAGUCUCAAGCCAUUAACAAAAGCCGACCGAGGCAUCACGAACCGCAAAUGAAGCUCAAUUUGUUUUUUCGAAGGUGUGGAUGUUGGCGUGCUGGAAGACUACUCCAGUUUUGACUGCCUAGAAAUCCUGAAGAGGGAUGUGCUACCGGGGUCAAGCGCGCCGAGUUCGAUCCCAAAGCUUGUGAAGAAUUUUACCGCCCCGAGUGCAGAUCAUGACUGUUAAGAGAUGGUCAUGUUUAUGGUACUGGCAGAUACCAAGACACUAUCCGGGCCAGUCGGUGUGGCCAGUUACCUUCUCUCCUUAUUAACCGAAGAGGACCAACUAAAUAUGAAUAAGAUAGACACGUCGAGCCUCUUCAACGAGGAAUAACAGGCGUUGAACAAGGUAUGUUUUCUUUUUCUCAUAUCUUUAAAGAGUUCAUUUUCCUUAGCCGAUUUUAAUUAUUUUCCCCUUUUAUAUGCCUCAGGCCUCGGUGCUUCAUCAUGACUAAAACUUUCACUGGUCUCGGAUGGAGGUGAGUCAUUUUGAGUUCAAGCUCAAGGAGCAGGUUCGAAAAAAUGACAUGUACAAAGAUGUUUGUGAGCAAAAAGAUGAGGUCAUCAGGGACCACUUUGUCCUCCAACUCACUGGAAAGAUCGCAAAAUGAUGCAUUAAAGGUGAAACAAGAACAUGCCUUCUGGUUGAAAAGGUAAUAGGGUUUGAGAUUAAUAAUGAGAGGUUAAGCGCAAAUUCUAACACCGCAAUCUCGUAGGUCCAAGGAAAGAUAGACCUAAUCGACCAUCUUAGGGUCGAGAUGGAUAAGGUCAAAGCCUCACUCGAGUAGUUGAGGAGAAAAAUGGAUAUCCUGGCCUCAGAACAAGAUGUUGUAAAGACCCGUAAAAAAUUUCCUGCUUAAAAUAAUGUCGGGUAGGUCCAUGUGUUGUUCUAAAUGUAGAAAAGUACCCCAGAAUUUGAAAGAUAAAUUUUCCAUAAAUUGGGAGUUAUGUGAUGCACUAUGCGAUCACUUAACGAGUAUGCGGACCACAUAAUGGUGGCAUAACGAGUAUGCGGACCACAUAAUGGUCGCAUACCUGGGUAGGCCACUGCCCAAUUGGAGGACAACUAUGCGGUCUAGAAUGCGAUCACAUUUUGGUUAUGCGGACUACACAGUUAUCGCAUUUUUUCCCGUUGAAUUUUGGUGAGAGAUGUUAUGCGACGCACUAUGCAAUCACAUAUCGUGUAUGCGGGCUGCAUAAUGGCCGCAUACCUGCUCAGUGUGUUUUGAUUUUGGCCCAUUUUUGAGGGCCAAUCUACGACCGAUCUGCGGACCGCAUUCCAUGUUGGGGCUCCUAUUUUUCUAAUUUUCAACCCGACCCCUUAUUCACUUAAAUACCCCAACCCUUCAUUUUAACACAUUUUCUAAACAAAACUAGAGAGAGGAAAGAGAGGAUUCUUGAGAGAGAAAGUCUCAUCUCUAUUAAUUUGAUAUUUCAAAGUCACCUAGGCCGAAAAUUUUGAGUAAUUAUUUUCUUCUUCGUUCUUGCAGGUAAAAUCCCCAACCCUUUUUCAUUGGUUUUAAGAUUUAAACAAAAAGGGCCUUUUUCAUGAAUAGCUUCUUGAAAAUAUAAGUUGAACCAUGCAUGCAUGUUCUUUAAUACCUAAAAUCUAGUAAGAGGAAUUGAGUAGGAGUAAAGAUCUGCAAAAAGAAGGGGUUGGUAAUCUAAGUGAGUUCGGGUUGCAUUUGUAAAUUUCAACUCUAAGAUAUAUGUAUUAACUUAUGAACUAGACUGACGGUACUAUGAAUUUGGUGAAUUGAGAGUUGAAGUUAAAAAGGAAAUUUAACUCCAGGUAUGUAUGGAUAACUUUAACCUUUGUAAAGUUACCCUGGUUAGGGUAUGAGUAAUUGGUAUGUAUUACUUAUGUGGACUAUGUGUGAGUAUUGGUUGUUUCACGGGUGUUGAGGCAAGAUGGCCUAUUUUAUGAAUUCUUGUGAUUUAUAUGCCUUGAACAUUGUUGGUUAUAUGAAUAAAUGACAACAAAUCAAGUGUGUGUGUGAAUGUGUUUAUGUGGUAAGGGCUGUGUAAUAAAUGAUGGAAAGAAGUCAUAAUUGAUGCAGUUGAAACAACACUGGUAAUAUCAUGUGUGGCUUGUCAUGGGCAAUUAUCGGUGUGACUUAAAUUGUAUACGAGUUGUUGGAUAUGAUGGAAAUGGUAAUGAGGUUAAUGAAAUCUCAUUGUGAAAUUGAUAUUGUUGUUGUGAAAUGAUAUUCUGGAUGGCUUGAAGCCAUGUGAUUGAACUGUGAACUAUUGUUAUUAUGUGAAAUGUGAUUGUCCGGUGAAAUUAGGGUGCACGCUUCAACACAAAAUGAUAAAUUGUGGGUUGGGUGAUAAAGGUGGAUGUUGUGUGAAAUGUAAUUGUCCGGUGAGAUCGGGUUGUGCUCUUCAACACAAAGUUAUAAGGUGUGCAUUGUGGUGAUAAGGGUGGAAUGUGAUCAUUAUCACAAUUGAAAUGAAAGUUUGUGAAAUCAUUGAUAUGAUGAAAUGAUGAUGAAAGGGGAAAAUGAGAGACUGUGAAACUUGUUAGCUUUGGUUGUUCCUUUCAUGUGCAUUUGAUUGUUAAUUCUAUUACUGUUUGCUAUAUGUGUAUUGAUUGAUUUUACUUGGGGCAAAGUUUUUUCAUACAUACCAGUACAAUUCAAAUGUACUAACGUCCCUUUUGCGAGGGUGCUACAUUUUUGUUAUGAUUGUAGGUGGUUUUAUAGCAGGUACUCCAGUCUACUGACAGUAGCACUCCUCCACUUUCCGUCAGCUGUAUGGGUGAGCCUCUUUCCUCUUGGUGCCCUGCGUGGCUCAUGCCUCUUUUCUUCUCGAAAUCUUAUUUUGGUAUUUGUGUAAGGUAUAGCCAGAGCCUUGUUACUAGCAAGUAUUGUAACACUCUUCUGUAUCCCUAGAGGCUCCAUAGACAGGAAACAUGGGUUAUGUACUUAUGUAUCUGGACAGUAUAACUUGUAGAUCAUGUAAAAUAAUCAUGUAUGUUAUUAUAUCCCGUAAGAGGGUGUUUAAUUAUAAAUGGAUAUUUCACUUGAAUAAUGAGUAUUGAAAUCACGGGGUAACACGUGGGAUAGAAAAGGCACCCAGGUCCGCUUGACGAGGGCUACCCGAUCAAGCGCCAGUCGCGUCCCUCGAUUUUGGGGUGUGACAAAACUUGGUAUCAGAGCCUAAGGUUCUAAAAGGGUCCUAGGAUGUCUCAAAGCCGUAUCUAGUAGAGUCCUUCUUAUCGGUGUGUUGUCGACCAUAUCUAUAAGUUGGAAGCUACAUGGGCAUUUAGGAAUGUUACCCUUCUUCAACACUCCAGGUAGGGCGAUAAAGGUUGACUAUAAGAUUGUUCUCUAACUCGUGCAUUAAGAUUCAAGGUAAGUUUAAACGCUCUUCUGUCUAUUUCAAGUAAUGUUUUCAUAUGAUAGGGCGAAUGGGCAAAGACUUGGAUAUUAAGGAGAUGGAACAUAUAUCUUGUUAAACGAAUGGUAUGGCAUAUAGUAUAAGGAAAUAGUACCAUAAGUAUAAUUUAUUUGAGAAAAUUGUUAAAAGUGAUUACCCGCCCAAAGGGGCAUUGAUCUGAUAAAUGAGAUGCGAGCUCGAAUAGCACACAUGGAUAGUGCGAGAAACAUGUAUAUGGUCCGAAGGUGACUAUCUCCUAGGAAGACUGUGGAUUCACGCAGCAGGAGCUGUGCCUUCUACUCUGCACCAAAUGCUGAAAUUUGAACAUGAGAACCAGGAAAUUGUGGUCCAUGGAAAAGAUGAGCAGUCAAUUUACCGCGAUCUCUCCGUCCCCUGUCUCGAAGCUAAAGAAGGAAGUGAGCAUAUAGUUUACCAGGCUUUCGAAAUCAUGGUAGCUGAUCAACACGAAGAAGGAAAACCACUUGCCCAGUCCUUCCUCUCCAAUGACUCAAUCAUGGUGGCAAGAGAAAUGAUACGUCAAGGAUUUUAACCAGGUAAGGGACUUGGAAGUUCUCUACAAGGCAUAACUGAGCCAAUCGCUUUGCCUACCGCGGAGAAGAUUUUUGGUCUAGGCUUCCACCCAACACCAGAUAAUAUAACCUGGGCCAACAGUAGAAAACGUCAUAGAUGGGCUUUACCUCAACCCCUACUCCACUUGUACGAAAUGUUUGCGAAGCCAAAGUACAGUGAGGAAGAAGAAGACGAGACCUUGAGGAAAUUGAAGAGAUAUGUGGAGACAUGACAAAAUUAUUGUAUGAAGCCAAUAUGGUCCAGCUUGGAGAAGGCUCGAGCACUGCUGAGGUGCUCUACAUGGGACCAGAUGCCAAAUUGAAAAAUUGGUAGGCCACGCCUUUUCUAGUUAGGCGGGAGGUUCGGUAGUCCUGCCUUGCCAUCUUUUCUUCCAUCACGAGUGAUUGCAGGGUGUAACUCGGGUGUUUUUCCUUUAGUUUUGUGUCCUUUAAAUUUCAAAUGUAAACCCUGUUAUCUUACAAUUUCAAAGAAAUAAAAUCAAUAUUUCAUCGUCUACACUCCUCUAUUUUUCUGAUUUUGUUAUUUUUCUUCUAUUUCAUUUUUCUUUCAGUCCUAAUAAUGCAGAUUUAAAUAAUAUGACAUGCUCGUGGACUUCAUCCCCCGACCCGAACAUGCUGCUUACUUGUGAAAUAAUGAACCAAGAACCAGAGUAUGAUGAAGAAGAAGUUUUAAGAGAAAUCAACCGAGAAUUGGAACAUUUUGAAAAUAAACCAAAGUCGAAUUUAAAUGAUACCAAACCAGUUAAUUUGGGCGGUCCCGACAAAACUAGGGAAACUAAAAUGAGCAUCGAUGUGAAUAAGGAAAUCCAGGACUCACCGGUUCAACUUCGUUUUGAAUUCAAAUAUGUGUUUGCUUGGUCUUGUGAUGAUAUGCCUGGGCUGAGUGUUGAUUUGGCGGUUCAUAAGUUUCCCCACAUACCCUGAGUGCCCUCCAGUACAAAAAAACAAAGAAAGUUAAAACCUGAUAUCAACGAUAAGAUUAAACAGGAGAUCACAAAACAGUUAGAGGCGGGAGUAAUCCGGGUAGUUCGAUACACCACAUGGUUGGCCAAUGUCCUGGUACCGAAGAUAUAUGGGAAAAAUCGAGUAUGUGUAGACUACAAAGAUCUGAACAAGGCGAGUCCCAAAGACAACUUCCCUUUGCCCAACAUCCACAUCCUUGUUGACAACUGUGCCAAGCACGAGAUACAGUCCUUUGUAGACAGGAUACCACCAAGUGUUGAUGGAUGAGGAAGAUGAUGAGACAACUGCCUUUACCAUGCCUUAGGGGACUUAUUAUUACAUGGAUAUGCCCUUUGGAUUAAAGAACGCCGGGGCAACGUAUAUGAGGGCUAUGACCACCAGUUUCCAUGACAUGAUGCAUCAGGAGAUAGAAAUAUAUGUGGACGAUGUGGUUAUCAAGUCCAAGACUCAGUGUGAUAAUGUACGAGACUUAAGAAAGUUCUUUGAAAGGCUUCGCAAGUAUGAUUUGAAAUUUAAUCAAGCCAAGUGUGCAUUCGGGGUCCCGUCAGGCAAACUUCUAGGAUUCAUCGUCAGCCGAAGGGGUAUUUGAGCUGGAUCUAACCAAGAUAAAAUCCAUUCGAGAGCUACCUUCUCCAAAAACCAAGAAGGAUGUAAUGAGCAUUUUGGGAAGACUAAAUUACAUCAGUCGAUUCAUCGCCCAUCUCACUUCUACAUGCGAGCCCAUAUUCAGACUAUUGAAAAAGAACGCAGCAAUUAAAUGGACCAAUGAGUGUCAAGAGGCUUUCGACAGAAUCAAAGAUUACCUGUCCAACCCACCAGUCUUGGUCCCGCCGGAACUGGAAAGGCCAUUGAUUCUUUAUUUGACAGUCCUUGAGAACUCUUUUGGUUGCAUCCUAGGGCAGCAUGACGCCACGGGAAGGAAAGAGAAAGACAUCUAUUACUUGAGCAAGAAGUUCACCAGUUACGAGGCCAAAUACACGCUGCUAGAAAGAACCUGUUGUGCCUUGACCUGGGUGGCCCAGAAGUUGAGGCAUUACUUGAAAUACCACACCACCUACCUCAUAACUAGGGUGGACCUGUUGAGGUAUAUAUUCCAAAAAACGAUGCCACAGGGUGAUUGGCAAAAUGGCAAAUCUUGCUCACCGAGUUUGACAUAGUCUAUGUCAGUCGUACCGCAAUGAAGUCUCAAGCAUUAGCAGAUCAUUUGGCCGAGAAGUCAGUUGAUGACGAGUAUCAACCGUUGAAUAACUAUUUCCCUGAUGAAGAAAUGAAUUCGGUGGAGGUAACAUCUGACGAUAUCUCUGCUUGGAAAAUGUUUUUCGAUGGAGCAGUAAAUGCGAAAGGCGUAGGAAUUGGGGAAAUUUUAAUCUCACCAAUUGGUCAACAUUACCUGGCUACAGCAAGGCUCCGAUUUUUCUGCACCAACAAUACAGCUGAAUAUGAGUCUUGCAUCAUGUGUAUGAAUAUGGCCAUUGAGCAAGACGUUGAAGAAUGGUUAAUCAUGGGGGAUUCAGAUUUGAUCAUCGGCAGGACCAAGGAGAGUGGGAAACAAGAGACGUCAAACUCAUUCCCUAUCGACAACAUGUGGAGGAUCUUAGCAAACGGUUCACGUCAGUACAAUUCAGGUACAUUCCUUGUUGUCACAAUGAGUUAGCAGACGCGCUCGGACUCUGGCUUCAAUGUUGCCUUACCCUGGAAACGCCUACGUCGAUCCUUUGGAAAUCCAAAUCAAGGAAAGGCAUGGGUAUUGCAAUGUGACCGAGGUAGAAUCCAACACCCAGCCUUGGUAUUAUGAUAUCAAGAAAUUUAUGGAAACACAAAAGUAUCCCGAGCAGGCUACCGGGGAGCAAAAGAAAACCAUCCGACGGCAUGCGAGUAGUUUCUUCUUGAGUGGUGAUACCUUAUACAAGAGGACCCCAGAUCUCAACCUUUCUAAUAUGUGUUGACGCCGAGGAAGCCGGGAGGAUUAUGCAUGAGGUACAUGCAGGAGUGUGUGGACCUCAUAUGAACGGGUAUGUACUGGCAAAGAAAAUACUUCGGGCAGGGUAUUACUAGAUGACCAUGGAGAAAGAUUAUUUCAGCUUCGUUCGGAAAUGUCAUCAAUGUCAGGUGCACGGUGAUUUAGUUCAUGCACCGCCAACCAAAUUGCAUCCUAUGUCAGCACCCUGGCCAUUCACUACCUGAUGCAUGGACGUCAUUGGGCCAAUUGAGCCAAAAUCCUCAAAUGAACAUAGAUUCAUAUUGGUUGCUAUUGACUACUUCACUAAAUGGGUUGAAGCCAUCACACUUAAGUCCGUCACCAGAAAGCCGUGGUAGACUUUGUGAAUUAGAACAUCAUUUGCCUCUUUGGUAUUCCUGCAACCAUCAUUACAGACAAUACGGCCAAUCUAAACAAUCGUCUGAUGGGAGAAAUAUGUGAACAAUUCAAGAUAACACAUAGAAACUCCACUCCUUACAUGCCCAAAGUCUAUGGUGCCAUCGAAGCAGCUAACAAGAACAUCAAGAAGAUUUUGAGAAAAAUGAUUCAAAACUCAAGACAAUGGCAUGAAAAGCUGUAUGUUACAUUGUUGGGAUAUCGCACCAUAGUGCGCACAUCGAUAGGGGCAACUCCGUAUUUACUUGUCUAUGGGACUGAAGUUGUCAUACCAGCGAAGGUAGAAAUCCCUUCGCUCAAGGUAAUUGUCGAAGCAGAAAUUGAGGAUAGCAAAUGGGUUAAGACUCGGUCGGAGUAGUUGUGAUUAACUGAUGAAAAACGAAUAGCUGCGAUUUGUCACGGGCAGUUGUACUAACAAAGAAUGGCCCGCGCUUACAAUGAGAAAGUGCGCCCCAUGAUUUUCAAAGUCGGACAGCUGGUAUUGAGGUGUAUUCUCCCUCACCUUCAGGAAGCUAAUGGAAAGUUUUCUUCGAAUUGGAAAGGUCCAUUCAUUAUCAGAAAGAUACUGCCUAAAAGAGCAUUGUACCUGGGUGACAUUGAAGGAGACGAGCCUGAGACAGCGGUGAACGCAAAUGCAGUAAAAAGGUAUUACGUUUGAACUCCCUACCGCAAUGAUUUCGGCCGGCUAAAAUGACGAAGGCUUUUCUUUCCCGCUACCCUAAACACUACCAAUCCUUCGCAAACCCCUCGAGCCGAUUACGUUUCUUUGUUCAGCCUCUUUGGAACCCAGAAUUUCUAUUCAAUAUAAUUUUUAAGAAAAGAGAAAAAUAAAAGGAAAAAUAAAGAAGAAAAAAAAUGAUGAAAACAAAAGAGACAACAAACAAUUUAGUCUAGGAAACACUCCUGAACUACGUCUGACUUGAUUCCGAAAGGAUACGUAGGCAGCCUCAAAUGGCUAUUCAAAAGAGAGAUGAAAAAUGAAUUAAAAAAAGAGGAAAAACAAAACAAAAGAAAAGAAAAAAAAGGAAAAAAAAGAGAAAAGAAAAAUGAAUGAAUGAAAACAAAAAGAAACAACAAACAACUCAGUUUAGGAAACAUUUCCUGAACUAUGUAUGACUUGAUUUUGAAAGGAUAUGUAGGCAGCCUCUCCCAGAGGUUCAGUCAUAUCUAAAUAAAACCCAGUUUCCAAAAAAUAAAACUAGGCCUGAGAUGUAAUGGUUCGGCCAUAAACCCGCCAGAAUGGUUCCAAAGUUGUAAUUUUCCAUCCCACUCCCUACCCAAAGAGCAUGGCCCAAGUUCUUCCGAUCAAUUGGCCAAAGCAGGUACGUAACAAACAUCAUUGUUGAGAUUUGGCACAACUCAGAUUGAAAGAAAUAAAAUAAGAGAGUCUUAUCGGUGAAAGCCUUCGGGCACCAUAAGGCGACGACGAGUAGAGAAAAUAAAAAUGAGAGAGUCAGUUUAGUGAAAACUUGUAAAAGAGCAGUAAUGGGCGAAGGGGGAAGAGAAAUGAGAGAGGCCGAUUGGCGAAAACCCGCAAAGGGCGCCAUCGGCGAGAAUGAAAGAUUAUCACCAUCCAAGCCCAAACGAGUUUCCAUGGUUUUUGAAAGAUUGAAAUAUGGAUCACAAUAAGCAGAAAUGGAUCUGGGCCGGCAUCUAGUCCAAGAAUCAUGUCAUUUCUAUUUAAAGUCAACACGCAUCCCCAGGUAAGUCCUUCUAUUUUCUCCAAAAGGGAAAUUUCUCUCUAAACCCAUAUGUUUUCUCUUGUUGUUUCCCCACUCCCUUUUGGCUUAACUUUGAUUUCCUGACUAUUCCCUAAGAGAAGGUGGUAAGACCGGUCUCACAGGUUUUCUCCUGGCAAGAACCAAAAGAAAUAUCUGGUAUCAGCAAGCGCAUUUAGCCAAUCCCAUCUGACCAUGACAGCUGAUGCUUCAAAACCAGGAAAGUAGAAAGAAAAGAAAUUCAAAGUCGAGAGCCCACAAAGAAAAAUGAAUAUUAGAAAGGUUAAGUCCGAGCGGGCUAAUUGUUCCCACAAAGUUCUCAAAAAAGGCAGGCCCCCCGAAGUGGAAACCGGGACAAAAAACCAAUCUGAAAGAUGACGAGCCUCCAACCAACUUACAAGGCAAAGUCGGGAAGUCAAAGGUUUCUCCCAAUAGGAAUGAGGCCAGGAUCAAGCAAAUCAAGGCCACAAAUCAAUCACUAUUCGAACUAACAAAUCAUGUUUUGAUUGAAAGUUUGAAACAUUCGUAAUCCAAAACAAUGGGGACAAAUGGAAAAUGCAAACAAAGGAACGGCGCAAAGGCUAAGAAUAGUCUUGCACCAAUGAUGAACAAAAAGGGAAGUUUUCUUUACGUUUUUUCCUAUUGUUUUAUAAAUAAAAAGAGGAGAAAAAGAAAGAAGGGAGAAUCAUAAAACAUGAGAGCAUAGGACUUCGAUCCCUGAAUCCUUCCCCAGAUCUAUGGCCACAUCCCUAAUCUUCCCCGGCACAACCCAAGGAUUGCACUCCACUCUCCUCAUCAUAGAAUGAGAAAUUUUCUUUCGUUCAUUCCCCGGCAUAACCUGAGGGCUCCGCUCUAUGUCCCCACUGUAAGCUAAGGAACCUUUUUCCUCUCUCUCUCUCCGUCCCCAGCAUAACCUGAGGGCCCCUCUUCUUCCUUUUUUUACCCAGCAUAAUCUGAGGGCUACAUCCCUUCUCUCCAUAGCAUAACCUAAGGGUUUUUCCUUUUAUUCUCUAUCCCCAGCAUAGACAGAAGGAUUUCUGUGGCCUUUCACUCCCCACCAUUCCCCAGCAUAACCUGAGGACCUUUCUCCUUUCCUCCUCAAAAGGAGUCUUUCCUUUCAAGCCCGGCAUAACCCGCAGAUCUCCCUAGCAAAACCUAGGAAUUUUCUCUUUCCAAUCCAGGCAUAACCCGUGGAUUUCCCUAGCAUAACCUAGGAAUUUUCUCUUUCCAAUCCCGGCAUAACCCGCGGAUUCCCAUGGCAUAACCCAGGAAUUUCUCUUUCCAAUCCCGGCAUAACCCGUGAAUUUCCCUAGCAUAACCUAGGAAUUUUCUCUUUCCAAUCCUGGCAUAACCCGCGGAUUCCCCUGGCAUAAUCCAGGAAUUUCUCUUUCCAAUUUCGGCAUAACCCGCGAAUUUCCCCUGACAUAACUCAGGAAUUUCUCUUUUCAAUCCCACUAUAACCCGUGGAUUUACCUAGCAUAACCUAGGAAUUUUCUCUUUCGAAUCCCGACAUACCCGCGGAUUCCCCUGGAAUAACCCAGGUUUCUCUUUCCAAUCCCUGCAUAACCGGUGGAUUUCCUGAACAUAACCUAGGAAUUUUCUCUUUCCAAUCCCUACAUAACCCGUGGAUUUCCCUAGCAUAACCCAGGAAUUUCUCUUUCAAAUCUCGGCAUAACCCGCGGGUUCCCCUGGCAUAACCAAGAAAUGUUUCUUCUUCCAAUCCCGGCAUAACCCGUGGAUUUCCCUUGCAUAACCUAGGAAUUUUCUCUUUCCAAUCCCGGCAUAACCUGUGGAUUUCCCUAGCAUAACCUAGGAAUUUUCUCUUUCCAAUCCCGGUAUAACCCGCGGAUUCCCCUGGUAUAACCUAGGAAUUUCUCUUUCCAAUCCCGGCAUAACCCGUGAAUUUCCCUAGCAUAACCUAGGAACUUUCUCUUUCCAAUCCUGAUUUCCCUAGCAUAACCUAUGAAUUUUCUCUUUCCAAUCUCGGCAUAACCCAUGGAUUUCCCUAGCAUAACAGAGGAAUCAUUUUUCAUUUCAUCCCGGCAUAACCCGUGGGUUUUUUCUUUCAACCCCAACAGGGACCUUUCAUUCCCAUCCCUGCAUAACCCGUGGAUCCUCCUCUUGACCCAACAGGGACCCUUUCUCCUUCCCAACAUAACCUGGAAAUCUUUCCAAAGGAUAUACAAUCCUGACUUUUGUUAUUUCCAAUAAAGAAAUAUCUUAGAUUUGUGUUGCAAAUAGCUCACGAAAUUUUCCAAUGAAAACUGGGGCAAAAAAUUUCGUUUGUUUGUUUGUUUUGGUGUCUGAGCAGGUUUUACCUCAAGGCAUAGGAUUCGAAAUGACCGAAAGCGUAAGUCUCAGUCCAGAAUAAAGGAAAAUAAGAAAAGAAUAAAAAAGAAGUGAAUUCAAAAUGUUGAAACAGGCAAGGAUGCGGACAACUCAAAGUUUGAUUGAAGUCAGAAGCCUCGUAUGUCCUGCUCUAGUCCAAUGCUGAAACAAAAACCAUCACCUACAGCUUGCGAGCAUCAAGAUUCAGAUCGAGGUCUACAGCAAAAUCAGAUAAGACUCAAGAUCAUGAUUCAAGAGAUUUAUAUAUAGGAAUCUAGUAACCCGUAGUGGAUAGGACUACCUAGCUUAGCUUUUGAUUUUCCUUUGGUGUAAUAAGGGUUCAGCAAGCAGUAGCAGCAACAUCAGCAGUGAAAUCACAGCUCGUGGUAGUCCCAGCUACCAAACACUCUAGAACUAAACUAACCCGAUUCCUUUUUUAGCCAAGGAUAUGUAGGCAACCUUCGAAGCAAGGUUCGGUCGGAUAUUUUUCAAAAUGCUUUGCACGGAGUAUUCAAAAGGGCAAAAAAUCGCUCGUAUUUGCUCACUUAUCUUUGCACGAAAACUCUUUAUGUUUCUGAGAAAAGAGGGGUAGCUGUGAGCAUGUGAUUUCUGCCCUGUAUGAAUUACUCCAAUAAUUUCAAACAGAACAAUUUCGUUCCAUUAUUUUUAAAUUUUGUUGAUUUGUGCUACAUUUUCUGUUAAUUGUGUGCACCCUUAUCCAUGCAUUUUAAUUCAUAUGAACAUACAAAAUAUGCAUUGCACUUAGGGUUUAAUUUACAUAUUUUGGAAUUAAUUAGUUAUUAGGAGUCUUACAAAAAAUACAAAAAUCACAAAAAAUAAUUUUUUUGGCAUUGUUUAAUUUGUAGUUUCGAAUUUGCAAAUUUUUAUUUUUAGUAUUUGAUUAGUUUAUGUGAUUUGUUAGUUUAAUUUAGUUUUUAGGAUUAAUAUAGUGUUUAGUUUAAUUUUUAAAUAAGAGAAUUAAAAUAAAUUAGGAAGAUUUGGAAUAAAAAUUAAAAAAGAAGAAUUGAAAAAAGAAAAGGAUUGGGAUUAAAUUGACUGGGUUGGUUUCAUUUAAAGCCCAAACGAAACCCACCUAAAACCUAUUUCAAUAGACCCAAACCCAUAGAAUUACCCGGUACAGUCCCUACCUCCUUUAAAACGAUGGUCAUUUUGGUUUUUAAAAUCCAGGGCGUCGAGGUUUUGCCAGAUCAACGACCAGGAAUUGAUAGGGAAUUAAUAUAAAAGUGUCUGAAUGACUCCCCCCUCUUUUCGUCUCCCACACCACCUUAAUACACUAACCCUAACACCACUACCUUCCGCCAGCGGCGACUAACCAAUACCUCCCAAAAAUACACCCCUAAACCUCCUUCCUCUACUCUAUCCAAAUCUACAACCCCUAUUCCCAAAAGCCUCACCAUGUCCUCGAAUAUUCAAACCAGUGGUCGCCGUCGCCAUCGCCACCCACGGAGGCGCCAACUUCAAACCCUACCGAAUCAACACCCCUGAACCACCCUCCUCUCCUCUUUCUAAACUCCAAACCCCAUCCCUCAAAUCCUCGCCCAUCUUUUCGAAUAUUAAAUCAAAGAUCCGGCCAAAACCCUUACUCUUCCAAAUUCAACCGAAGUCACACCCUAUAGCCUCCUUGACCUCCCCAUCCCGAAUCUCAAACUGAACAUCUUCAAAUCUAAGUGGAAGCCCACGAAUUUCAGGUCCAGGGUUUGGAACUUUUAAUCUGUUCUGAAGUUGCAAGCAUUCGAAUGAUUUUCAAUUAACAUUAUGGUUUUAUUUUUGAUAAAAUAGACAUGUAACAUUAACUGAAAAUAAUUCUUUAGGAGUCAGUCUAAAAGAAGAAUAAACCAGUAAGUUUUUUGAUGCCUGAUCCUAUUCUCACGAGUUUUUUAUUUUAUUCGAAUUCUUGUUUUGAUUUUGUUCAUGGUGGACUUGUAUCUUGUGGUUUUUGAUUUAUAGUUUAAAUUCUGUUUUGAUUCAUCAUGUUUUGUGAUUUUUUUGUUUCAGUUCUAUUUUAAUGUGUGUUUUGUUUCAAUUAAGUGUUUGUUUCUAUUGGUAUAGGCUUUGGUUUUAUUUCUUUUUAAUCCUAUUUAAUCAAUCAUGUUUAGUGAGUUGUUUGGUUUUAAUUUUCGUGUUUGAUUUAAUUAGUAAUUUCUUAUUGUUGUUGUUAGUUGUUUGUUGGUUGGAUAUAUUUGAAUUAGAAUUCUUGAUUUAACUAUAGUCAAACUCUGGCUAGUAGGAUAAGAAUUAGGGUGUAAUUGUUUAGGCCAAGUAAUUGAGGGGAAAGGACAAGGGCAAUAAGGGUAUUUGGACAUGGGAAUCUUGUAACAGACCCCUGAAACCUUUUAGUUGGAGGUUCAAAAACUAAAUUCUGGUAAUUUUCUAAUAAGACUUGAGGCACAUGCUAGAAAAAUGAGGGACUAAAUAAACAAUUCUGAGAAAUAGGAAAGGAACUAGUGUAUAAAACACAAAAGAAAGGGGUUGCCCUAAGUUGGGGUUAUAAAUAGGCAAAUGAGUGCCUUCAUUAACAAGGCUGAAAAUCCUUGAAACCUUCCCAAGGUUUAAUGUCUAAAAAAUCCUGAUAAAUUCCCUAAAAUUUCUAGAAUUUCCAGCUCUAAAAUUUCCCCAAAGCAGUCCUAGUUCCAUUUCUACAGUUUAAAUUCGAAACAAAAAUAAAAAAGGUUAUUAGUUUGAAUAUCUGAAAGUUUUCCAUAAAAACUAGAUUAUUUAGAUCCUUAGGAGCAAUAACAAAAACAAAAACUCCAAAACAGGCUAUUCUAUUGAGGUUUUGGACCAAUUUCGAGUCCUAGAGUUUGAUUUACAUCAUUUAGUCUAGAGUUUGAUUGCUGAAGUUUUUAUGGAAGUUUUCUGGGCUAAUUCCAAGUGUGUUGAGUUCCAUUGAUCAUACUUUGGGUUAUUUUGUUGGUUGCUGUUCAUCUGGCUUUUUUCCUGGAUUGAAAUGAUAUAAAUGUUGGUUUGAUUGUGGUGUUACUGCUGAUUUAUCACUGCUGGUUGCUGACUCAAUCCUACUGACUCCUUUUCUUUUUAUUUGGCCUUAACUCAGGUACGUUUUCAAAUCUCAGGUGUUGUAAGAGUGAACACAUGUGUAUGGUUAUUUUUUCAAAGAAGAAUAUUGAAGAACACCUUUGCUUUCCUUGAGUUAUUUGAAGAUCUUCUAAUUUGUAUGUUUAAUCUUACUUCAACAAUGUUAAUUAGACUAUUAAUAUUUUGUAUUAACUGGACUGUUUGUUUACAAAUAUUUAGUACUUGAACUUGUGCUAAUGUAGCAGAAUUCAGUAGUGGUGUUAAGUUCUAGCGAAUGAGCCAAUAUGUAGAUAAUUUGAAGGUUUUUUAUGCAGCAUGAUUGGACUCGGUAUUAAGUUUACUGAAGUUGAUAAGUUCCACCAUAUUUAAAUUGAUUUCUUAAAGUUUGGGUUGUCAUAAUUCUUGGAGUUUAGACAUUGAUGUAUACCUAGAUUUAAUAUGGUACACACGCUAUUGGGCUAGUCACAAGCCCAAAACAAUAGGGUCAUGGUCACAAGACAAUGAGACAAUAUAUUUGGGCCCCCUCAACGGCAUUCCCAGGCCUGAGCCUAAAUGCCUUUAGUUAACUCAAUUGAACCCAAGAUGAGAAUACCCUUAUAUUACAAACUUUAUAAGAAUCCAGCAAUGCACAAAGAUAUAUUACACUCCUAAAGGAUAUUGAGUUGAGGAAUUGGAAUCCCAGGUCUGUGUGGUUGAAUAAGAGUAGAGGACUUAUGAGGUUAAUACCAUGGUGACUUAAAUCUCCCUAAUAGUUUAACAUAUAUACGAGGGAUAGAGGCAUGAGACAUAUAUCCCUAAAGUUGCUAAAUUCAAGACUUGUACCAAAAUCCAGAACAUUCACCCUAAGAGGGGGAGGAAGGGCCAUCGUGAGGCCACUUAAAUAGAAUGAAGCAAGAGUGAGACCCCGUAGGUAUGAUGUUUUGAAGAUUUUGUUGAAGACACAUAGUCUAGAAAAGAGGUAAUGGGUAACAUGACUCUAUAAAAAGAUAUGAUAAUGAUAGACAACUAGUAUCCCAAGGAGGUGGAAGGUUAAUGAAGGUAAAUUAUUUACACAUGGCUAUGUGAAUGAUAGGGUCAAUGAUCCUAGAAACUAAGAGUGAUGUUUGUGAAGGGAUUUUAUACUUGUUAGAAGGUCAGGAAUAAUGGAAUCUAAGGAAGUACUAUAGGUCAAAGUGAAAGAUUGCGAGUUUUUAGGAUGGGUUAAUUAUAUAGUUGCGAUUUAAUCAAAGUUCCAAGGCAUUAAGAAAGGUGGAACGAGUGAGAUAAAUAAAUACGAUGCUGAAAUAACCUAAGAGGGUAUUUGGGCUCGAUGUAGAGCCUAUAAAGAAUCAUACAAACAAAGAAGUGUUAAGUGAUAUACAGAUAAACACCUUUACCCACGGAUAUCCCAAAAGAGGUGAGCAGGAUGAAAUAUAACAUGAAGAUGAGCGCAUGUCUCUUCCCCGGCUGGGAAGAAUGAGGCGAGAAGAAAUGGGGAGAAAACCUAUAGAUUGAGAUGGUCAUGGUUAUCAUAAAAUAUCUGACAUCAGAAUGGUGGACUCGCUUAGAGCAUAGGUGUUAAUAAAAGUUAUAAAGGACCAACUAUAAUGCAACCCACUUAGGUGACACUAAACAUCAUCUGAAGGAUCUAGAGAUAGUUCAUGUCUCCAUAAAAUGGAAAGUGAGGCUACCGAUGGUGAAGUUGUGGUAUGAUAAACUAAUUAAACUAGGCAUAAUGAUAUUAUAAGUUCAUGGGAGACAGACAAAUGUGUGGAACAAUAAGGCUAUUAACUAUGCAUUAUACUUAGAGUAUAGGUGUUAAUAAAAGUUAUAAAGGACCAACUGUAAUGCAACCGACUUGGGUGACACUGAAUAUCAACUAAAGGAUCUAGAGAUAGUUCAUGUCUACAUACAAUGGAAAGUGAGGCCACCGGUGGUGAAGUUGUGGUAUGAUAAACUGAUUAAAGUAGGCAUAAUGAUAUUACAAGUUCGCGGGAGACAGACUAAUGUGUGGAACAAUAAGGCUAUUAACUAUGCAUUAUGCAACAAAAGGCAAAUGAAAGGUUUGAAAUAGAUUAUUGUCCAAGACAAAGGGUGAUCAAAAGGGGAAAGACAACCCAAUCUACCCAAAAGGCAAAUGAAAGUUUUGAAAUAGAUUAAAAGGGGAUGAACACUUGUUAUAGGCCAGACAUGUUGAACAUGGUAACUUCAAAGCCGUAAUAUUAUGGAACUCUAUUGGAAGCUACAAUACGGGGAAAGAGGUGAUCUAUUCAUUGAGGACGGAAUCAAGUGGACUAAGUGUUGCACCUAAGAGUAAUACCAAAGGUCGUUGUUGAAGAAUUGGGGAGGAUCUAAAGUUUUAGAGAAUGCCCCUCUCAAGCCAGUGACUCUUCCUAGAUUGUAUACAUAUAAAGGGUGUUGAUAUGUGUUUUGGGCAGUGCUUAACCAUAAAGAAGGAUCGUGAGAAUAUUCAUUGGGAAAGUAGUGCGGUUUCUUAAAUUCUAUAAGGCACAUGUAGGGAAAAGAGGUUGGCUAAGAAAAGUUGGAGCACAAUGUUACCUUACAUUUGAAGAAGUGUCGUGCAUGUUGUCGUUAGCAGGGUAUAUGUGCAAGUUAGCAGGUGUUAUUCGACAGAAGUUCAUAUGAGAAAACUCGUUUAGCAAUGUCUUUUGUUGAGAAUUUGGAAGAGUUAGUUGCAAGUAUUUACAAGAUAUUGUAACCAUAUCAAGGAAAUUAUAGUAGAACUCAAUUCAUAGGAGGUCUUAUGUAACAGAAAUAUGAUAAAGAUAUUCCACUAAUGAUACAAUGUGUUAAGGUGAAAGUUUAUGUUGCUUGGAAACUCAAGUAUCAUGGAAUGAACUAUGCAGCGCAUGACUUAGGUCAUACAACAAUGGUGUUUGCACUAAGAUUUGGCGACAUUAUUUGUAUAGGGUCUAUGUGGAUAUAGUCACAGACCACAAGAGCCUUCAAUAUAUUUUUAAAUGAAAGGAAUUGAAUCUGAGGCAAAGAAGAUGGCUCGAGUUACUCAAGGAAUAGGAUAUGAAUAUCUCUACCACUCGGGAAAGUCUAAGGUUGUGGUGAUCUUAGUCGGAAGUCUAUGGGUAGUUUGGCUUAUUAGGGAGCGAUCAGAGGCCCUUGGCUCGGGAGGUUUAUCAAUUGGCCAUUAUGGGGGUUUGUAUUUCGACCUCGAGCGAGGGGAAUGUUAUGGUGCAUAAUGGAGCAGAAUCGUAACUUAAAGCGGAAGUCAAGGAAGGGUAGUUUAUUGAUCCAGCAUUGGCAUAGAUGAAGGAGGCAAUUUUGAAUAACAAGACUUCAAACGUUUUCACUCGACGGAGAUUAUGGUAUAUUGCGAUAUCAAAGUAGGCUAUAUGUUCCACAUGUGGGUAAUCUUCGGGAGAGGGUAAUGGCCGAGGCUCAUAGUUCCAUCUAUUCUGUGCACCCAGGUUCUACGAAAAUGUAUCAUGAUCUCAAAGAAAUUUAUUAGUGGAACAACAUGAAGAGGGGUGUGGUGGACUUUGUAUCUAAAUGUCCAAAUUGUCAGCAAGUAAUAUGGAAAUACCAAUAUGUAAGUGGCAGAUGAUCAACAUGGAUUUCGUGGUAGGGUUACCUCGCACUCAGCGUAAGUUCUACUAAAUUUGGGUAAUAGUGGAUCCACUUACGAAAUUAGCUCACUUCUUGUCAGUCGAGUCCAUCGAUACUAUUGAAAAAUAUGCUCAGUUGUAUAUCAAGGAAAUAGUAAGACUUCUUGGCACUCCACUUUCUAUUAUCUCAGAUCGAGGGGCCCAGUUCACCGCUAAUAUUUGGAAGAAAUUUCAGCAAGUUUCGGUACUCAGGUGAAUCUAUGCACGGAUUUCCAUCCAAAACCGAUGAUCAAGCGGAGCGAACUAUUUAGAUGCUUAAUGAUAUGUUGCGGGCUUGUGUCUUGGAUUUCAAAGGUAAUUGGGAUGAUGACUUGCCACUUAUAGAAUUUGCUUACAAUAAUAACUUUCAUGCUGGUAUUCAUAUGGGCCCAUUUGAGGCAUUGUAUGAAAGGAGGAAUAUGUCUCUAAUUGGAUGGUUCAAAGUGGGUGAACCAGGAUUGAUUGGGCCAGAUCUCGUGCACCAGGCUAUGGAAAAAGUUAAAGUCAUUCAGGAGAGGAUGAAAACUGCUUAGAGUCGCUAGAAAUCCCAUGCGGACAUUCGUCGAAGAGAAUUGGAAUUGCACGUAGAUGAUUGGGUGUUCUUGAGGGUAUCUCCUAUGAAGGGAGUCAUGCGAUUUGGGAAGAAAGGGAAGUUGAGUCCUAGAUAUGUCGGGCCAUAUCGGGUCGCUCAAAGGAAGAGUGGCUUAUAAGCUGGAAUUACCCCCUGAAGUGUCAUUAGUGCACAUGGUGUUUCAUGUGUCUAUGUUAAAGAAAGUGGUUGGAGAUCCAUCCACCAUCGUGCCAGUUGAGACUAUAGAGGUUAGUGAAGAGUUAUUGUAUGAAGAAAUUCCGAUUGAUAUUCUUGAUAGGCAAGUCCGUAGAUUGAGAAACAAAGAAAUUGCUUCAGUUAAAGAAUCAUGGCAAAGUCAACAAGUCGAGGAAGCCAUGUGGGAAACGGAAAAUGAAAUGAAAGAAAAGUAUCCCCACCUGUUUGAAUAAUUCUAGUAGUGAUCGUGCGAACUCUUAUCUCUAAGCAAACUGAUGUUGUGUUCAAUUUGGUGCAAAGACAUCCCAUUUUCCCCUAAAUGCUUUACUAUUUUAACUCCUCAAGUUGUGCAAGAAUUGUAUGUGUUGUGAUUAUUUGAUUCAUGUGCAAUCCCUUUUGAUAAAUGAAAGUUUUAUAAAAAAAAAACUCAUGUGAUAAGUGAAUAAUUAAUGGUAGUGUAGAUUGGUAAUAAUUAAUUGAAAUGCAUAUAGUGUUUUGAAGUGGUUGAACUGUGUGGGACUCAUUGAACUGACCAAAUUAAGUGUAAAAAUGUGACAAGUAAUUGAAUAUGUUCAAGUGUUGAGGUAAUGAAUUGUAUACCCAUUGUAGGGAUAAUAGGAAUUGUGUAAUGGUGCCUGGAAAUUAGUUUUGGGGGCUCUUUGACAGGUAGAUAAGACAAAUUAGAAAGGAGACUCUGGCAAAAUGUUUCUAAAAAUAUGGUAGUUAGUGAAAAUUAGGAGUUUGCAUAUCAUGUUUUCAAAACCAACUGAUUUCCAAAAUCCUCAUUCGUGGACGAGCGGUUUUAAGUGGGGGAGGAUGUAAAGACCUGUAAAAACUUUCCUGCUUAAAAUAAUGUCAGCUAGGUCCCUAUGUUGUUAUAACUGUAGAAAAGUACCCCAGAAUUUGAAAGAUAAAAUUUUCUAGAAAUUGGGCGUAAUGCGACGCACUAUGCAAUCGCAUAACGAGUAUGCGGACCACAUAAUGGUUGCAUACUUGGGCAGGCCACUCCCCAAUUGGAGGAAAUCUAUGCGGUCCAGAAAGCGAUCGCAUUUUGGUUUUGCGGACCACAUAAUUAUUGCAUUUUUGCCCAUUGACUUUUGGUGAGGGAGGUUAUGCGGUGCACUAUCCGAUAGCAUGACAUGUAUGCGAACCGCAUAUUGAUCGCAUACCUGCACAAUGUGUUUUGAUUUUGGCCUAUUUUUGAGGGCCAAUCUGCGACCGGUCUGCAAACUGCAUGUCAGGAAUGCGAUCGCAUUCCUGACCCCAUUCCGUGUUGGGGCUCCUAUUUUUAUAAUUUUUCAACCCAACCCUUCUUCAAUAAAACACCCAACCCUUUAUUUUAACACAUUUUCUGAACAAAACUAGAGAGAGGGAAGAGAGGAUUCUUGAGAGAGAAAAUCUCAUCUCUAUCAAUUUGAUUUUUAAAAGUCACCCAGGCUUGGAAAUUUUGAGUAAUUAUCUUCUUCUUCUUCAAAUUUAAACAAAAGGGGGUUUUUUCAUGAAUAGAUUCUUGAAAAUAUAAGUUGAACCAUGAAUGCAUGUUCUUUAAUACCUAAAAUCUAGUAAGAGGAAUUGGGUAGGAGUAAAGAUCUGCAAAAAGGAGGGGUUGGUAAUCUAGGUGGGUUCGGGUUGAAUUUGUAAAUUUCAACUCUAAAAUAUAUGUAAUAACUUGUGAACAAGAUUGAAGGUACUAGGCCGUUGGUGAAUUGAGAGUAGAAGUUAAAAAGGAAAUUUGACUCCAGGUAUGUAUGACUAACUUUAACCUUUGUAAAAUCACCCUAUUUGGUGUACGAGUAAUUGGUAAGUGUUACUUAUGUGGACUAUGUGUGAGUUUUGGUUGUUUCACAGGUGUUAAGGCAAGAUGGCCUAUUUCAUGAAUUCUUGUGAUUUAUAUGCCUUGAACAUUGUUGGAUAUAUGUUCUGAUAUGAUGGUAUCAAUAAAUGUAAACAUACCAAGUGUGUGUGUGAAUGUGUUUAUGUGGUAAUGGUUGUGUAAUAAAUGAUGGAAAUAAGUCGUAAUUGAUGCAAUUGAAACAACACUGGUAAUAUCAUGUGUGGCUUGUCGUGGGCUAUUAUCGUUGUGACAUUAAUUGUAUACAGGCUGUUGGAUAUGAUGGAAAUGGUAAUGAGGUUAAUAAAAACUCAUUGUGAAAUUUUUAUUAUUGUUGUGAAAUGAUAUUCUGGAUGGCCUGAAGCCAUGUGAUUGAACUGUGAACUAUUGUUGUUGUCUGAAAUAUGGUUGUUCGGUAGGAUUGGGUUGUGCCCCUCAAAACAAAGUUAUAAGGUGUGGCCUGUAUUGAUAAGGGUGGCCGAGGUAAUAAGGGUGGAAUGUGAUCACUAUUGAAAUAAAAGUUUGUGUAAUCUUGGAUAUGAUGAAAUGAUUUAAAGGGGAGAUUGUGAAACUUGUUAGAUUUGGUUGUUUCUUUUAUGUGCAUUUGAUUGUUGAUUCUAUUACUUUUUUCUCUUUGUGUAUUGAUUUAUUUUACUUGAGGUAAAGUUUGUUCAUAUAUACUAGUACAAUUCAAAUGUACUAACGUCCCUUUUGCCGGGGGCGCUAUAUUCUUGUUAUGAUUAUAGGUGGUUCUAUUGCAGGUACUCCAGUCCAUCGACAGUAGCACUCCUCCACUUUCUGUCAGCUAUAUUGGUGAGCCUUUUUCCUCUCGGGGCCCUUCGUGGCUCAUGCUUCUUUUCUUCCCGGAGUCUUAUUUUGGUAUUUGUGUAAGGUAUAGCCGGAGCCUUGUUACCGGCUAGUAUUAUAACACUCUUUUGUAUCCAUUGUGGCUCUAUAGAUAGGAAACAUGUGUUAUGUACUUAUGUAUCUAGGCAGUAUAACUUGUAGAUCACGUAAUGUAAUCAUGUAUGUUAUUAUGUCUCGUAAGAAUGUGUUUAAUUAUAAAUGGUUAUUUUACUUGAAUAAUGAGUAUAUAAAUCACGGGGUAACACGUGAGAUAAGAAAGGCACCCAGGUCCGCUUAACUGGGGCUACCCGGUCAAGCGCCGAUCGCGUCCCUCGGUUUUAGGGUGUAACAGAUGCCACAAAAGAGGAUUUUGCAUUGACCAAAGAUUAGCUCCAGGUUAUGAGGGAAAAAGAAAGAGAAAUAAGUCAUUGUCCAUUCCUUUAAUUGGUGUAAUGUCAUUUGCAACUUAUCCAAGCAUCUCCGUAUCUGGUCCUCUUUUACUUCUAGUGUCCCAUUGACUUGGUUAAAAACAAGAAAAGAGUCACACAAUGUUUCAAUCACCUCAUCCCCCAGGCUCUUUGCCCGUUCUAAACCUGCAAUUAUAGCCUCAUAUCCGGCUUCAUUAUUAAUCAAUUUCACAAUUCUAAUAGUUUCCUUUUUACGUUACAUGUAGGUGAUUUUAAUAUGAUUCCUAAAAAAUCGUCUGUGAGUAGGGUCCAAAACCCUAAGCUAGUCACCGAGAUGAGUAGUAAUUCUUUUUCAACCUCGGGGAUCAAGGCCGACGUAAAGUCGGCUACGAAGUCUACCAAAAUAUGAGAUUUUGUAUCAAAUCGAGGUUUGUACUCAAUAUGAUACUCGCUGACCUCUAUGGAGCAUUCGGCUAGUCGACUCGAGAGCUCGAGUUUGUGCAUAAAAUUCCUUGGGGAUUCGAGGUCACUACACAUAGGGGUGACAUUGAAAGUAUGGUCAUAGUUUCCUAGAUGCACUUAAUAAACGAGCGCUAAUUUCUCUACGUGUGGAUACCUUAUUUCAGAAUCGCCUAGGGUUCUACUAACAUAAUAGAUAGGAAAGUGUGUACCUUUUCUUCCUGGACCUAUACACCACUUACCGCUAAUUGGAGACUACCAAGUAGAGGUAUCACUGCUCGUUCGCCUUCGUGGUGUGUACGAAAUAAGGGCUCGAUAGGUAUUGCUUGAGUUCUUCCAAAGCCCGUUGACAUUUCAGGGUCUAAGAGAAGUCGUUCUUCUUCUAUAAUAAUGAGAAACAUUGGUGGCUUUUGUUUGAUGACCUUGAAAUAAACCAACUCAAUGCAACUAUCCACCCGGUCACUCUUUGUAUCGCCUCGACGUGGUCAACUAUGGUGUGAUAUUCUACGGCUUUUAUAUUUUCUAGGUUGAUAUCUAUUCCCCAAUUAGACACCAUGAAGUCAAGGAACGUGCCUGAGCCGACUCCGAAGCACACUUCUCCCGGUUAAGUUUCAUAUUGUAUUUUCUCAGUAUGCCGAAGGUAUACUGGAAAUGAUUCAAAUGGUCCUCUGCUCGCAUUGACUUAACUAAUGUAUUGUCAAUAUAAAACUUCAUUAAUUUUCUAUUUCUUCUUCACACAUUCAGUUAACUAGGCGUUAAUACGUGGCACUGGUAUUUUCUAACCCGAACAACAUUAUGUCAUAACAAUAGGUGCUGAAUUUAGUUGUAAAAGAAGUCUUAUAUUGAUCACCUAGGUCCAUCUGUAUUUGAUUGUACUCAAAAUAGGCAUAAAAAAAUUCAGCGUCUCGUGCCCAGCCGUUGCAUCGGUCAUUUGGUUGAUGCUAAGCAAAGAAAACAAAUCCUUUGAGCAUGUUUGUUUUAAGUCCUUGUAAUCUACACACAUUCUAAGUUUGUUUCCGUUUUUAGGUAUGACCAUUACGUUAACUAGCCAACACGGGUAUUUGAUUUCCCGAAUGGAACCUAUUUUGAGAAGUUUGGAUACCUCACGUUUGAUGAAUGCAUGUUUUAUUUUAGACUACAACCUCCUCUUCUAUUUGACCGAGUGGAAUUUUGGAUCUAAACUUAAUUUGUAAGUUGUCGCCUCUGGAGGGAUCCUUGUCAUAUCUAAGGGGGACCAGGAAAAAUGAUCGGUGUUAGCUUUAAUAAAAUCAAUAAUUUUUUCUCGAGCUUGGGGCUUAACCCCGUGCUAUAUUAUACCUUUAUGUCUGACCUGCUACAAUUCAUCGAUUGUUUAUUUUGUGGCAUCAAUAUCAUCGGGUGCUAUGAAGUAUCUCGAGACCCAGAAAUCAUCUUCCUUAUUCGUUGAGUGGUCUCUCUGUUUCUCCAUCAAGGUCGGGGUAGGACCUGUGAUUUCUAGAUGGUGCCUUUCUCUUCGACCAGUUCCCCACCUUUUGAUAUUUUGGCUGCAUGCACUGUGAUCACCUCCUCAGCGUGAACAUCUUCUGUACUGUCACUUGUUUUCCGUAGACUAUUUUAAUUUUGCUUGGGGUGGGAAAUUCCAACACAUGAUGGAAGGUCGAAGGCACCGCUCUCAUGCUGCGGACCUAUGGUCUCCCAAACAAGGCAUGUAUCCAUAUCCCCCUAAAUUACAUAAAAUUUUGUUUCUUGGGUGGUCCUCCCAGUGUUCACUAGUAGGAUUAUUUCGCCUUUCAGUGUCUCGGAUGCCAUGUUGAACCCAUUUAAUACUCAUACUGCUGGUACGAUUUGGUCCAAUAACCCUAGUUGUUCUAUGACUUUCCAUCAGAUGAUGUUGUCCAAGCUACCUAGAUCAAUCAAUACGCGCUUAACUUGAGAUUUGUUAAUAAAUACAGAUAUUACCAGUACAUCAUUGUGAUGUUGAAUGAUUCCCUCAAUGUCCUCCUUGUGAUGGAAAAUUUGGUGCGCUUAAUCAUCAUCCCUUAUGGGUUAUCUACUCCCCCAAUAAUCAUGUUAAUCACGUGUUGUGGUUCUUCAUGCUCAGUUUGUUUGUUGGCAUCCCUAUUUCUAAAAUGGAUUUUGGCUGUCUCCCUUAGGAAUUCCCGAAUAUGUCUAUUGUUGAAUAGACGAGCCACUUAUUCGCUUAGCUGUCGACAAUCCUCAGUCCUGUGGAUAUGAGUACCGUGGUAUUUACAUAUCAAGUUGUGAUCACUCUUUGUGGGAUCAUACUAGAAUGGCCCUGGCCAUUUGGUCUCCUUGAUGCAUUCGAUGGCCGGCACUAUACUCACUGCAUCAACAUUGAAGGUAUAUUUCGAUAAACUCGGGGCUUCUCUACACCCGAGCAAUUUGUCGAAACCAUUCAUACUCAUCAUACCUCAGUUUCUAGGACCUUGGUUUCUUCUCCUGUCGGUCCUGGUCGGGUGGUGACCGAGUCCGUUUCCCAUUCUAUUCGAGCUGUAUGGUUGAUAUCGAUUUUGUUUUGGCCUUGUCUCCUGAUCCAUAAUUCUUUUAGACUUGUUGUUCACUCUGUUAGGGUAAACAGACCCCGAGGAGGCCGCAGCUAGUCAUCCUCGGCUCUGAUCUUUGACUGAUACCUCUUAUGAACAUCGACCCAAAUGAUUGUCGGGUACUCUACCAAGUUUUGCGUCAAUUAUGAGAUGGAAUGGAACUUAGGGAAUUGAGUCCUUGAGUUAACUCAUGAACAACCCAAUUAUAUUCAAGUGGGGAUAGUUUCACGCCCUUAACCAUAGCAUGUGCAUAACAAAACACUCGUUGCUUGACUACACGUGACCGAGAGAACCAACUGGAUGGCUGGAUCAACAUAUGGUAUAGCUGUAAGCUGAAUAUAAACAAGCAACAUGUUGAUCUACUAAAAAGUCUGACUGAAAUAUCAUAAAUGUCGAAAGUACUGAAAAGUCUGUAAGUAUAAACGAGUAGACGAUAAGGCUAACACAUAAAAGCCUGCUAACAUCUGAUUGACUGGACAAUAUUCUACGAAGCCUCUAAGAAUAGUGAAGUACUAACUGUUUAUCGGGACAAGAUCCUAGCGUACCUUGCUAACUGUAAUACUAUAAAGACUAAAAAGAGAGAUAAUGUCCCGAAAGACUUGGGCUCACCAAUAGCUGAUACGAGAUGUCCUAGCAAGCAGAAUCGUUAACCUGUAAAUCAUUACCUGCGUUACGAGAUGCAUGCCCCGAGCAAAAAGGCACAUCGGUGCAUUUGAAUUGCAGUGGUAUGUAAAACAACUAAAAGAAAAAACUGCAAAUACUAAAACUGCAACUGAAUUGACAGUGGAUAGCUGAUAACUGGACUAAACAUAGGAAGUAAGGAUAUGAAUACUCCCUCUUCUGAAUGACGAACCACCUUUUUAUCUGAAUAAACAUAUUAUGGAAUCAGGCCUAUGUGUAUGUGUAUACAUACAUACAUAUAUAUAUAUAUAUAUAUACAUACAUACAUAUAUAUAUAUAUAACAGACCACAACACCAAAGAAAGCUAUCAUAAAAGCUGAACCCCCUUGCUUCCCAUUUAUCUUUAUUUCCGACAUAGGUUAGACCAGUGUUCGGCUCUUCAAAACCUCGUGGUUUACCAUAUCGAUUAUACAAAAACUGGAGUGUGCAAUAUAUAUGUAUAUAUAUAUAUGCACAAACUACAGCCUCGGGCCUAAGUAUACGUAUACAUAACUGCGUCCUCAGGCCCAUAGCACCGCGAAAGGAUCUUUCAUAGGCCUCUAUGGUGCGCGACCAAUAGCCAUGGGCUCUCUCAACCUUGGUGGAUUAGUUGGAUCCCACACUACAAAAGCUACUUUGAGCACAUACAUCUAGGUGGUCUUGUUCAGUGCUAAGUCAUUGUACAAAAACUGGAGUGUGCAAUAUAUAUGUAUAUAUAUAUAUGCACAAACUACAGCCUCGGGCCUAAGUAUACGUAUACAUAACUGCGUCCUCAGGCCCAUAGCACCGCGAAAGGAUCUUUCAUAGGCCUCUAUGGUGCGCGACCAAUAGCCAUGGGCUCUCUCAACCUUGGUGGAUUAGUUGGAUCCCACACUACAAAAGCUACUUUGAGCACAUACAUCUAGGUGGUCUUGUUCAGUUCGAAUCUCUUGGGAGGACUCAAUGUCAUUUGCUUUUCCUUGCGGCCCCAUGGGACAUAGAGAACAUCAUCUUUGGAAGGCGUUGCCCCAGUUUUUGCCUUAAUUUUCUUUUCUGAUAUGGCUUGCGUGGCUUUGUUCUUUUUGGCUUUUUCUCCAUAUCAGCAAUGGCAAUUAUCGCUUUCAAUGCCGGGUCGAAUUCCGUAUCUUCGCAGAUCAUUCCGAUUACCGUCCCGUUGUUGUGGGCCGACAGUGGGUUGUUGGUCAUGUUGGGGAUGUCCUCGUCCCUUAACAAAAUCUUCCUUUGUUCUAUCAAAUGCUCCACGGCUCUUUUCAAGGUCCAGCAGUUUUCUGUAUCAUACCCCGCAGCUCCUAAGUGAUAGGCGCAUCGGGUGCCCUGUUGGUAAGAGGGUGAUUCCAGGUUUUGCCUGUUUGGAGGUACAGGCUGCAGCAUGACCAUUUGGACAAGAUUUGGAAAAAAACUGGAGUAGGAUUCACCGACUGGUGUAAAAUAUUUCCUCCUGGGUGGUUCACGAAGACAUAAGUUAAUUUGUGGAGGAUUGGGGGUUGUAGUGGUUUUGGUGAGGAGGCUGGUUUCUUGGGAAUGGGGCUUGGUUCCUGUUGGCUUGUUGCUGAAGCCGGACAAAAGGUUGAGAAUUCAUGACCGCGUACAACUAAUGGUGCGUAGGCCAUGUCCUGGUGAUGGUAGUAAUGCUGAGGAGUUCUUUCUGGGAACAUGGAUCUGGGAGCACGGUGUCACUUUGCACUUGAUGCUGCCAUGGAUGUUUCUUAUUUCUUCUUGCCCUUUGCUACUCCUCCAGACCCGACCUGAAUGGCUUGGGAGGUUGCUUUGAUAGCAGAUUGGCAUAGAAUUCUGCCUGUUUUAAAUCUAUUUUCCAUUAUUUCCCUGAUUUUGAUAGCUUCCGCAAACGGUUUACCCAUAACCGACAUCAUGUUCUGGAAGUAGUUGGCUUCCUGAGCUUGGAGGAACACUGUGACCAUUUCGACCUCGUCCACCGGAGGCUUUACUCUAGAUGCUUGUUCACACCAUUUGAUUGCGUAUUCCCAGAAGUUUUCCGAGGACUUUGUUUUCAUGUUUUCCAAUGAGUUUUUGUUUGGAGCAAUGUCUAUAUUGUACUGGAAUUGUCUGACAAAGUCUCUAGCAAGGUCGUCCCAAAUGUGCCAAUGAGAUAUGUCUUGAUCCAUGUACCACUCGGAGGCAAUACCAACCUAACUUUCUCCAAAAUAGGCAAUGAGUAAUUCUUCCCUUCCUCUGGCCCCUCGCAUUUGAUUGCCGUAUUUCUUGAGAUGAGUAAUAGGAUCAUUUUUCCCAUCGUAGUUUUCAAACUUUGGAGUUUUGAAUCUCAAUGAUAAGUGCACAUGGGGAAACAUGCAUAGACUAGGAUACGAAACACUUUUCUGUCCGCUCAAACCUUGGGUGUUUUUGAGACUUUGUUCUAUACUCCUCAUCUUUCUUGCAAUCUUUUGUUGCUCAGGAGUUUUGGGAGUCUUUUCUUGUCUCAGAGUGAACUCAAAUUAAGGUGGUUGAGGGUAGGUAUAAAUGGUGAAUUGAGGAGGCUCCAUUUGCAGGGUAGGUGUUUGGAAUGUAAAGGUUGAAGGAUCAAAAGUGGGCCUAGGUAGUGCAGGCUGUGUUGUGGCCGAGCAUGGGGGAGCGGUGAAAAUGUUUGGGGCCGCACUGGAUAUGAAUACCUGGGGGCGAACCUCAGAGGGUGUUCCCACGAUAUGAGCUGAUAUAGUAGGUUGUCCGAGUGGGAUGUUUAGGCGGCUGAUUGGGACAUUGGAGGUACCACUUGUUCUAGGGAAAAGUUCGGGGAAUACCGAGAUUGUACUUAGUGGAUCUCUUCCAUUUGCCCAAGCAUCCCACAUUUCCAUAACCCUAAGACACAUGAUUCUGUUCUCUUCAGCAGUUGCCUAUUCAGAGGUCAGGAUGGCGGAGAUAGGGCCAUCAUCUGCAAUGAGAACCAUUGGUAGUGUCAUUUCUGAAGACAUUUUGAUGCUCCCUUUUGAUCUAAUAAAGUAUGGGUGUGAAGCCAGAUUAACACGAAAACUAGCCACCAUUUUAUAAAACCCUGGACUGGAAGAGACAACAACACACGGUUAGUUUGUGACAAAUAACAUAUAGGUAAUCGCAUGUUGAGGUGUGAUGCACCUAUGUAUUUACAUGGGUUUCUACAUGUUUUUUGCAACGAUUGCAUGCUUCGUCAUGCUUUUCCUUACUCUUUCCCCUUGAUUUUACUCUUUUUUUU